Molecule: ribosomal RNA, 496 nt
Filed under: uncultured bacterium
Lineage: Bacteria
Description: partial 16S ribosomal RNA
Rfam family: Bacterial small subunit ribosomal RNA
Source: RNAcentral
GAUGAACGCUGGCGGCGUGCCUAAUACAUGCAAGUCGAGCGAACGGACGAGAAGCUUGCUUCUCUGAUGUUAGCGGCGGACGGGUGAGUAACACGUGGAUAACCUACCUAUAAGACUGGGAUAACUUCGGGAAACCGGAGCUAAUACCGGAUAAUAUUUUGAACCGCAUGGUUCAAAAGUGAAAGACGGUCUUGCUGUCACUUAUAGAUGGAUCCGCGCUGCAUUAGCUAGUUGGUAAGGUAACGGCUUACCAAGGCAACGAUGCAUAGCCGACCUGAGAGGGUGAUCGGCCACAUUGGACUGGAGAAACGGUCCAGACUCCUACGGGAGGCAGCAGGAGGGAAUCUUCCGCAAUGGGCGAAAGCCUGACGGAGCAACGCGGCGUGAGUGAUGAAGGCCUUCGGAUCGUAAAACUCUGUUAUUAGGGAAGAACAUAUGUGUAAGUAACUGUGCACAUCUUGACGGUACCUAAUCAGAAAGCCACGGCUAACUACGU